UCCGCGUGUAGGAUGACGGCCCUCNGGGUUGUAAACUACUUUUAUUUGGGAAGAAACCCUGGGAUUUAUCCCGGNCUGACGGUACCAAAAGAAUAAGCACCGGCUAAUUCCGUGCCAGCAGCCGCGGUAAU
Molecule: ribosomal RNA, 131 nt
Filed under: uncultured bacterium
Lineage: Bacteria
Description: partial 16S ribosomal RNA
Rfam family: Bacterial small subunit ribosomal RNA
Source: RNAcentral